Molecule: long non-coding RNA, 873 nt
Organism: Acipenser ruthenus (sterlet)
Lineage: Eukaryota; Metazoa; Chordata; Actinopteri; Acipenseriformes; Acipenseridae
Exons: 3
Source: RefSeq, a predicted model, not a curated record
UGACAAAAAAAGAAAGAAAAAGGGGCGCAGCGACUCGUUUGGCAAGCAGAGGAUUUUUCAGACAAUGUGCCACUUGCCGUGAACAAUCGUGUCAUUCAUUGCUGUCAAUAUGGCAAAGCACACAAAAGCGGGAUUCAAAAUGUUAAAAGCCUUGUGACGAUGGUGAACAUGACUACACAGUCAAGAGAAGAUUCCACAUUCAGAAAACCAAGAAGGUAGACUGUCCUGCAAAGGUUUUUAUCCGCUAUAUUACAAGAUAUGACACAUUCUGUGUUGAAGAAGGGGCUUCAAAAGCCAAGAAACAAGUGGUUCUUGUUGCUGUAUCUUUGAAAAAAGAAACCCCAACUACUUCUCAGGUGAUCCACAUUAAACUACCUUUGGCUGAUUGUGGCGGAGUAUCCCGCCCCUAUAUUUAUAUGUGCACUAUUUAUUAUUAUUUGUAUUAUUAUUUGCGGCGCAGGUAUUUGUUAUUGUUUUUAUAUUUUAAAAAUCUCGUGAGGAUGCGUGGCUGAUCAGCUACUGAUUUAUUUAACUAGCUGUCAGUCACGCAUCCUUACUAAACUCGUGCAGACUGUGGCCGAGGGGUAAUAAGAUAAUUAACAGCUAGUUAACCCCUCGGCCAGAGUAUAAGAACCUGCAGCUGUCUGUGCUGCGGGGGAGAGUGCACAGAGGAGAGCACGGGGAGCGGAGAGAGCGAUGAGAGAGAAAUUACAUUUAAAAAAACAACUGCUAAGUAUCGUGCUGGUGCUAAAACCAGCACGCUUAUUUGUUUGUUUAUUUGUUUGGCCAACGUGCCCUUUUGUUUUGUUGUUUGUUUAAAUCUUUUGUUUUGUUUUAUUAUUUAAUAAAUACGCUGACCGCAGUAGCGUCCAG